UACGUAGGGCGCAAGCGUUGUCCGGAAUUAUUGGGCGUAAAGAGCUCGUAGGCGGCCUGUCGCGUCUGCUGUGAAAUCCCGGGGCUUAACCCCGGGCGUGCAGUGGAUACGGGCUGGCUGGAGGCAGGCAGGGGAGAAUGGAAUUCCCGGUGUAGCGGUGAAAUGCGCAGAUAUCGGGAGGAACACCGGUGGCGAAGGCGGUUCUCUGGGCCUGUUCUUGACGCUGAGGCGCGAAAGCUAGGGGAGCAAACGGG
This 254-nucleotide ribosomal RNA is filed under the name uncultured bacterium. RNAcentral describes it as "partial 16S ribosomal RNA". It matches the Rfam family "Bacterial small subunit ribosomal RNA", at positions 524 to 776 of the family's 1533-position model. The record is from RNAcentral.